GAGGGGGCAGGCGUUAUUCGGAAUUAUUGGGCGUAAAGGGCGCGUAGGCGGCCUAGCAAGUGACGGGUGAAAUCCCUCGGCUUAACCGAGGAACUGCCUGUCAGACUGCUGGGCUUGAGACCGGGAGAGGUGAGUGGAAUUCCCAGUGUAGCGGUGAAAUGCGUAGAUAUUGGGAGGAACACCAGUGGCGAAGGCGGCUCACUGGACCGGUACUGACGCUGAGGCGCGAAAGCGUGGGGAGCAAACAGGAUUAGAUACCCUGGUAGUCCACGCCGUAAACGAUGAGUGCUUGGUGUAGCGGGUAUCGACCCCUGCUGUGCCGAAGUCAACACAUUAAGCACUCCGCCUGGGGAGUACGGUCGCAAGACUG
RNAcentral lists this ribosomal RNA (370 nucleotides) under uncultured organism. RNAcentral's name for it is "bacterial SSU rRNA". It matches the Rfam family "Bacterial small subunit ribosomal RNA", at positions 528 to 896 of the family's 1533-position model. The record is from RNAcentral.